This 468-nucleotide ribosomal RNA is filed under the name uncultured bacterium. Its description in RNAcentral is "partial 16S ribosomal RNA". It matches the Rfam family "Bacterial small subunit ribosomal RNA", at positions 28 to 507 of the family's 1533-position model. The record is from RNAcentral.
GACGAACGCUGGCGGCGUGCUCAACACAUGCAAGUCGAACGGAAAGGCCCUGCUUUUGUGGGGUGCUCGAGUGGCGAACGGGUGAGUAACACGUGAGUAACCUGCCCUUGACUUUGGGAUAACUUCAGGAAACUGGGGCUAAUACCGGAUAGGAGCUCCUGCUGCAUGGUGGGGGUUGGAAAGUUUCGGCGGUCGGGGAUGGACUCGCGGCUUAUCAGCUUGUUGGUGGGGUAGUGGCUUACCAAGGCUUUGACGGGUAGCCGGCCUGAGAGGGUGACCGGCCACAUUGGGACUGAGAUACGGCCCAGACUCCUACGGGAGGCAGCAGUGGGGAAUAUUGCACAAUGGGCGGAAGCCUGAUGCAGCAACGCCGCGUGCGGGAUGACGGCCUUCGGGUUGUAAACCGCUUUCGCCUGUGACGAAGCGUGAGUGACGGUAAUGGGUAAAGAAGCACCGGCUAACUACGUG